UGUUUCCAUUAAUCAAGAACGAAAGUUAGAGGUUCGAAGGCGAUCAGAUACCGCCCUAGUUCUAACCAUAAACGAUGCCAGCCAGCGAUCCGGCUGUGUUCCUCAAAUGACACGCCGGGCAGCUUCCGGGAAACCAAAGCUUUUGGGUUCCGGGGGAAGUAUGGUUGCAAAGCUGAAACUUAAAGGAAUUGACGGAAGGGCACUACCAGGAAUGGAGCCUGCGGCUUAAUUUGACUCAACACGGGGAAGCUUACCUGGAUAGGACACAGGAAGGAUUGACAGAUUAAGAGCUCUUUCUUGAUUCUGUGGAAGGUGGUGCAUGGCCAUUCUUAGUUGGUGGAGCGAUUUGUCUGGUUAAUUCCGAUAACGAUCGAGACUCUAGCCUACUAAAUAGACGUUCCGAUCCUUGCUGUCGGACGCUCUUCUUAGAGGGACACGCGGCGUUUAGCCGCACGAGACAGAGCAAUAGUAGGUCUGUGAUGCCCUUAGAUGUCCAGGGCCGCACGCGCGCUACAAUGAAGGAAUCAGCGUGUGCUUUCCCUGUCCGACAGGACUGGGUAACCCGUUGAACCUCCUUCGUGCUUGGGAUAGGCGCUUGUAAUUAUUCGCCUUGAACGAGGAAUUCCCAGUAAGCGCGAGUCAUCAGCUCGUGU
RNAcentral lists this ribosomal RNA (653 nucleotides) under Echinotheridion otlum. RNAcentral's name for it is "SSU rRNA". It matches the Rfam family "Eukaryotic small subunit ribosomal RNA", at positions 965 to 1641 of the family's 1831-position model. The record is from RNAcentral. Lineage: Eukaryota; Metazoa; Arthropoda; Arachnida; Araneae; Theridiidae.